GACGAACGCUGGCGGCGUGCUUAACACAUGCAAGUCGAACGGAAAGGCCCUGCUUUUGUGGGUUGCUCGAGUGGCGAACGGGUGAGUAACACGUGAGUAACCUCCCCCUGACUGUGGGAUAACUUCAGGAAACUGGGUCUCAUACCGGAUAGGAGCUCCUGCUGCAUGGGGGGGGUUGGAAAGGUGCGGCGGUUGGGGAUGGACUCGCGGCUUAUCAGCUUGUUGGUGGGGUUGUGGCUGACCAAGGCUUUGACGGGUAGCCGGCAUGCGAGGGGGACCGGGCACAUUGGGACUGAGAUACGGCCCAGACUCCUACGGGAGGCAGCAGUGGGGAAUAUUGCACAAUGGGCGCAAGCCUGAUGCAGCAACGCUGGGUGCGGGAUGCCGGCCUUCGGGUGGUAAACCGAUGUCGCCUGUGACGAAGCGUGAGUGACGGUAAUGGGUAAAGAAGCACCGGCUAACUACGUG
RNAcentral lists this ribosomal RNA (468 nucleotides) under uncultured bacterium. RNAcentral's name for it is "partial 16S ribosomal RNA". It matches the Rfam family "Bacterial small subunit ribosomal RNA", at positions 28 to 507 of the family's 1533-position model. The record is from RNAcentral.